Molecule: long non-coding RNA, 6775 nt
Filed under: Salmo salar (Atlantic salmon)
Lineage: Eukaryota; Metazoa; Chordata; Actinopteri; Salmoniformes; Salmonidae
Description: lncRNA (ENSSSAG00000066999.2)
Source: RNAcentral
GGGUUUUUGUGACAUUAUAUGCUAGCUUGAAAAAUGGGUGUCUGAUUAUUUCUGGCUGGGUACUCUGCUGACAUAAUCUAAUGUUUUGCUUUUGUUGUAAAGCCUUUUUGAAAUCGGACAGUGUGGUUAGAUUAACGAGAGUCUUGUCUUUAAAAUGCUGUAAAAUAGUCAUAUGUUUGAGAAAUUGAAGUAAUAGCAUUUCUAAGGUAUUUGAAAAUCGCGCCACUGGAUUACACUGGCUGUUGCGUAGGUGGGACGAAUUCGUCCCGCCUAGCCCAGAGAGGUUAAGUUAAAAUAAGUGUUCAUUCAGUAUUGUUGUAAUUGUCAUUAUUACAAAAAAAAACUAAAAAACGGCCGAUUAAUCGGUAUCGGCUUUUUUUUGGCCCACCAAUAAUCGGUAUCGUCGUUGAAAAAUCAUAAAAUCGGUCGACCUCUAAUAUAUAUGGGAGAAAACAAAUCUAGGCCUACAGUAGUUUAUUGGCGAAGUAUUGAAAUCAUGGAAGUAUAAUGAUUAUUGUAAUUCAAUAGUUGGAAUAUAGAGGGCAUCACUUUGAAUACAUUGUUAUUUGACAUAAAUUAAUAAGCGAGGGAGGAAUUAUUUUUACAGGAUAGAUAAGAACGUGUUGGUCAGUGUUUCCUAGAGGACCCUAUACAAUGUUACAUUAUGUGUGUAUUCUCUUACAUCAUGUAGCUAGCUAGAAAUCAUGCUUUGCCUAAAGAUGGGUUAGCUGAUGUCACGAAAACGAUCCGCACGCUUCAAAUGGGACAGAAGUUUGAGUUGUUGUGAUUCUGGAUAGCCAGAUAGCUACCAACAAUACAAGAAACUGUCAUGUGGGGAAUCGUAAGGGACUUGUUUCAGUUAGUAUAAUAUUUUUCUUGAUAGAAAUGUCUUGAGGUGUUUUGACCGAUUUCAUGUCAAUGCUAAUAUGGAGAAAAUUCACUAGCUAGCUAACCAACAACUGUAACAAUGUAUUUGAGAGACAAGUGCUCAUUGAGCAAAUGUAUUUGUUUUCAAUAAACAUUGAAGAAAUAUAGUUUACAUGUCAACAACUAAACAAAUGUUUUACUUCACAGUUGCGCAUGCAUCGGUUGUGUUGCUAAACAACCAGCCCGUCUAUUCCUCUCUGAUUUAGAAACAUACUGAUCUAGGCCUGCAUCAGCAAUGGUAUCAAUCAGGCUGCAUUAUUGGCUAGCUACGUUUGCGCUGAUUGAUUACGUUUGGAUAACUAGUUAGCGAUUAGCAUUAGUGGCGAACAUGAUUUAUUUUAGCCCCCACUUGCUAAGAAAAGGCAAACUAGAUGUUUGCAGACUAAGAUACACAAACUAAUAGUGUAAUUACAGAAUGCUUAGAAAGCAGCAUCGAGGAGAGGGACAACUUGCAAGCAAACGGAGUAAACAAAAAAAUUUCACACGCCAGAGUUGCAUAUCACAUUUAACAAACCAAAGACUGAAAUACAGUUUUAGAAGGUAAAGUUAAAACGCAAACUGGUCCUUGCAUCAAUACGGAACCCAGUAAAAUAUGCUAUACCGCCCAGCCCUAAGUAAGACAGAGCAAGGAUAUCUGUUUUGGUACUACUUACCCUUCAUUGAACCAGUCUGUGUCCGAGUGUCCAUGGGUUCUUGUCCAUCUUUGAAGUUGAACGACUCUGGCAGCACACUGAACCUCAGAACACUGUUCUCCUCAAGAGGCAAAAGAGCAGGGCUCCUGAUCUUAUUUGUACUUUUUUCCACUGUAUCAGGUUUGCUGGAUGGCACCGCCUUGAUCCUAGAUUUCUUCAGUCUGAGUUUCAGGCCAUUUAAGAUUCUCUCUCUUUCAAUGUGCCGCAAAGUCCGCUUGGCCCUUAUGGUUCUUUCUGGUGUGGCUCGUCUUUCAGAGGAUAAUGCAUUACCAUCUGUCCUGGUCGAGGUAACAGUCUUUUUGGCAAAUUCAGCACAAACAAUCUUCGGAGCAAACCCUCUUCUGCUUCGUAGUCUUGAUGCUCUGCCCCUGGACUUUGUCUUCUUUGUCGGCACAAAACUGUUCUCCCACUCGUUGAAGAGCCGUUGUCUGACUGGGCUUUCCACUGGCGGGCUGGUCUCGGAGGGCUCUAUCUUCCAGGACUUGACAUUCACACUGAGGGUUAGAGGAGGUGCUGGAGCUUUGUCUGCAAAAGGUCUAGGUCGAGAAGAAUUAUGGUCCUUGCGUUGGCCAGUUACUACAGUCCCAUUUGUCCUCUGGGGCGAGGAACCAAACAAGGCCAGACUUACUGUGGUGACCCUUGAAAUCUUAGUCCUAAUUCCAGGUUCUGCUGGCUUCUGGAGAUUGCGACCGUUUGAAGGCCGCUCUACUUCCAAAGAGUUAGAAGUACUUGUAUUGGGUGGCUCGAAAUCGUCAUCUGUGUCAGUCAAGUUGACCUCAGGAACAAGUUGAAUGAAGGGACCCAAACCUUCCCUUAUUUUCCUUCGCUUUCUUGGGACAGACAAUUUUGAAUGAGGACCUUCAACACAUCUCUUGUGUCCAACCCCUUUAUGUUUAACCUUGUAGGUACGAUUUAUUUUAGGAGAUAGAUGCUUGUGACAUCUUUGUGCCAAGGAGAGUGAUGUUAGAAAACUGAUUUUCUCUGCUGGUUGGCGUAGCAGAUUAGAAGUAGGAAUGUGAACUGUAGGAAUGACUUCACUACCCCCAAGGUUUCUUUCUUCCAAAGUGACACUAAGUGCUUGUACACGUUCCAUUUGUUUCUGGAGUGGACCUGGUAGUUUCUGCUUUGGCUGUACAUUGUCGCACACUAGCUUGGACAUUGGGGUGGAUACCUUGAGAAAGUCUUCAUAGCUCGAGAAGACAUCUUCAAUUUCAACUUCAACAAUGUUUGGGCACUUGAUGGGCAGGCACAGUGAGUGGGGUUUUGACAAUGGCAAGCUCUUCGCCCCAUUAGUGUAUGGGCGAUCAGUCUCAGAUUCACUAUCAGACAAGACAAUAGUUUGGCAUUCAAUGCCUGUAGAUUUCCAUGAUUGGGGAUUCCCAUUCCCUUCCCUCUUUCCUUCUGCUGUGCCAUUGGAUUUACAUAAAUGCAGGCUUUCCCUUUGUUCUGCAUUUGUUGUGCUCGGUUCAACAGCCAAAGUUCCCUCGACAAACAUCUUUGCAUUCACAGUGGCCUUUGUCAAACCCAAUUCAGUAUUGUACUGGCAUUUGCAGGACAAAGAAUUGGUGGACCCACUGAACACUGCCUUCCAACGUGAGAGACAACAGUAAUCUUCCGAUUGGACAUCCACUUCGUAUUUUACAGUUGUCAACUUUACAUCUACUCCCUCAGAUGAUUUAUCCUCCACGGAGUAAUCUUUCAACUCAUUCAGCUCCACAUCCACUGGCAAUUUCAACUGGUCUUCUCCCACUUUGUCUUGCAGUAGCUGGCCAUUGAAAAACCGCAUAGCCUCUUCUGGUGGCAGCACGUUGAUCUCCAGGGAGGAAAAUGGGUCACAAAAAAUGAUGCUUUCACUUUCUUUAACUGGUGAGAGGGUCUGUGUAGAGCUGUGUGCCAAACUUGACCCUUGGAUUUCUUUAGGAUCAGAUUCAGAGGGUGCUGGUCUCUCUGUCUGAAUCACCUCAGUCUGCAUGUCACAGACAGAGUCUGCAGAAUCUUCAUUUCCGGUAAAAUUCCGUUUUGGUUGUUCAACUCCUCUUUGAAGAGUCUGUUGGUCAUAUCUUAGUGACCAUGGGAAUCCAAACUCCCUGUCUAUGUCAUCAAGCUGCUUAUUGGUGUUCAACCAUGAGGACUCUUGACCUGGGACCUCGGGGUAAACAGAAUCAUGUUUAAGAAUGACACAUUUCUCUUCAACUUGAGCCCAGUUUUUGCGCCUGACUUGUGAAAAUAUGACAGACUGUGAUGACAUAUCUUUGCCACACACAGAUCUAACCUCUCGCAUUAUAUUCUGUAAAAUACCAGAUCUUGCAGCAUCCAUAAGCUUCUGCCCAUCUCCAUCCCAAUAGAGGCUUAGUAGCUUGCUUUCAACCAGUGUCUCAGAGCAUUUUGGAUGUUGCACAGUGUCUACCAACUCCUUCAAUUUACCAAGUCUCCAUUUGACUACAGGAACUGAGGACAAUUCAAAAAUGUCCUCAUCUGAAACUACUUCUUCAUUUGUUUCCUCACUCAAUUGGUUAACAUGCACAUGAGUGGUCAUUUCUGUGCCCGCUAACUCUUUCCUCUGAGUGGCUUGACAUUUCAAAUUAGAUAAUGGUUGAGAAUCCACUUUCUCUACAUGUAAGCAGUUUGAUAGUGACCAUUCAGACUCAAAAUAUGAAUAUGUCUUGGCCAGUUCAACAUCGGAAGUUUCUGAAUCCUGAGUCAGUGUUUUUUCAGCACCUGCUUCUAAUGUAGCUUCUGGUCUGACCUUGGGGAGCUUUUGUCCAGAUUCAUUUGUCAAAGAAGCAGAUACAGUAAGGGUUGUUUGGGUUUGUGAUGGACUUUGGUCACAAGAUUCUUCCCCAGGGUUGCUCACAUUUUCACCACCAGUUGAGAAUGACAUACCUUGGGUAGUCAAGGGCAUUCUAUCAGCCACGUUGAGUGAUGCGUUUGUCUGCAUAGACUGCGACAGUGGUUGUACAACGGCGAUGGCCUUCUGCACCGUAGGAACAGAGGGGGCAUUACUUGCAGAUGAUCCUUGCCGUACCAGAGCACUUUCAUUAGGUUUAUCUCCUAUCAAAAUAACAUUUUCUGCUCUAAAUCCUUUUCCACUUUUGUCCUCUGUUACCGUUACGUAAUAGCCCUGUCUUAUGGGGUAUGACGGAGGCACAGACUCACAGUUUUGCUGGCCUGAAAACGGCAUACCAUGGUUUAGCACAGAUGAAGAUGGUCCAGUGUUGGAUAUCAGAAAAUGUUUUGGCUUGUUACGUAGGGUAUGGGCUGAGCCUUGGUUUGGUAUGUAUUGCAGAGAAUGUGCUCCUGACCCAACCACAUGUCCCGUCUUGUUCAGCACGGGUCCAUGGGAGUGCUGGCCUGGGUAUGGUGGAGGAGCGGACUCACGGGUGUGCUUGACUGAAGACUGUAUACUAUUGUUUGACACAGAUGACGAUGGUCCAGUGUUGGAUACCAGAAAAUAUGUGCCGUCUGCCUUGUAAUGUAGGUUAGAUACGCCUUCGAAAUGGGGCCUAGGAUAUGGGGCAUGGUGUGCAUUAUUUUCAAUGGCCCCUGUCUGACUGUUCAUAUUUGCACAAUUUGACGCAAGUCUGUUCUGUUGUGGUGGGUUGGUAAGGCCUGCAGGGCGAUAUCUUUGAAAAUUAUUAAGAAAAGGGUUAUGCAUUACAUUGUAUUGAGGAUUCUGGCUAAUGUUAUGUAUUGGCAUUGACUGCCCCACUGUAGCAUUUGAUAGAUUGACCUGGUUGUUGCUGUCCGUGAGAGGUUGGAAGGGAUACAUUUGACUGUGGUUUGAUGGGUCAGUUUGGACAGGUGUGCCAUGUUGAACCCUGUUCAUCUCAGUCCUGUUGUUAUUGUUUUGAUUUAGAACCAAAUACAACAAUUGUUUAUAUGCUGUGGGAGACAGUGGAGAUGUCUUUGAUGGCACGCUACUUGUCUCCUGUGCACUUUGCAAAGAGUUUGGUGAUUGUGGAUACCCCUGAUGAGGCGCUUGAACUGCCAUCCUACUUGAAUCCUUUCCACUUGCUACAGUCCAUUGAUGAUUGACAUGAUUGGGACUCCUACCCAUGCCAAGAGCAGCAGAGGUACCACUGGAGGCCCCCUCUUGUCUGCCAAGUACCAGCUGCUGACUGCCACUUGCUGGGCUUUGGAGAUAAAUACAAUUUGUAUUCAGUGAUGCAUUAAUAUCAGAGGGGCAGUGAAUGGUUGCACUCUCACCAUCCUGUACCAACCUCUGUGAAUUGUUACUAUUACCACCCAAAGACCCAUGUCCCUGCUGAAAAGUGGGUUGAAAUGCAUCGUUAACCCUUCCGGGCAGGGUGUGAUGGUAUCCACUUUGUGAUGUAACACCAGUUGAUUGUGCAGCCGCAUUGUUAGUCAAGAGUGAUGUCAAAAGGGGACUAGUGGCCAUUAGGGCCUGCUCUUUUGUGGGUGCCUGUUUAUUCUGGGUCUGUCCACUCCAGUAACCUACACUGGUUACUUGGCUGCAUUGUGGUAGACAUUCACCACCUUGAGUAUAUGGGACCGCUGGUCCGACUUCCCUACCUAGUGUAUACGCCACAGAUGGUCUGACCGGCCCAUAUUGAUGAGAAUAGGUGCUUGGAUUCCCACUCAGCUGACCACUGGUGACUUGGGGACUUGAGGAUUGUCCAGUGACUGAUCGAUCCGGUCCACUUUGGGGCCAGGUAGAGGUCUGCAUUCUCCUUGGCUUCUCAGUCUCGCCUUCUGCCCUGUGGUAUGGCAGAACGUAACCAUUUCUGAAAUGAGAAACAUGUUAAACCAGGAUUAGCCCAACAAAACGCACAGUAACAAAUGUAGCUUGAAUCCAAUGGUAAAAAUCUAGGGUAUGGCAAUCUGGUGCCAGAAAGCCAUCAUAUUCUUUGAAAGCAUAGAAGUGAUCGGUAGGCUAGCUGAUAUUCUUUCACCACUGAUCUAAACUGAGGUGGGCCGCUCAACUGGAGAUACCCAAGAUGUGGGCACACUGCAUCAGCGCUACACCCAUGACUUAGGGUACGCAACAGAUAAACUCAUACACACAUCGGAGGUUGAGGGGUCUGGAACGGUACAUUGAGAAUGUACAGAUGGGAACUGAAGACAAAAAUGAUCAGAUAUAAGUGGACUCAAGGUAAUGGAGGAGACUUGAGUCCAGUAGAAGUACAAGCGGUCAC